This 378-nucleotide ribosomal RNA is filed under the name Stagmomantis carolina. Its description in RNAcentral is "partial 12S ribosomal RNA". The record is from RNAcentral. Lineage: Eukaryota; Metazoa; Arthropoda; Insecta; Mantodea; Mantidae.
AUUAGAUACCCUAUUAUUUUUAUUGUAAAAAUUUAAGCUAGAGUAUUAAUAGUUAUGAUCUUCAAACUUAAAGAAUUUGGCGGUAUUAUAGUCUAUUUAGAGGAAUCUGUUAUUUAAUCGAUAAUCCACGUAGAACCUUACUUAAAUUAUUUCUUGUAUACCGCUGUUUAAGAAUAUACUUUUAGGUUAUUUUCUGAAUAUAUAAGUAAUUAGAAUUUCAAGUCAAGGUGCAGUAAUAUAUAAGUUUAAUAAUGGAUUACAAUAAAUUUUAUUUAUUAUGAAUUAUUUAUUGAAAUAUAAUUUGAAGGUGGAUUUAAUUGUAAUUUUAUAAAGAUUAUUAAAAUGAUUUAUAGCUCUAUAAUAUGUACACAUCGCCCG